RNAcentral lists this unclassified non-coding RNA (162 nucleotides) under uncultured Ascomycota. RNAcentral's name for it is "sequence contains ITS2". The record is from RNAcentral. Lineage: Eukaryota; Fungi; Ascomycota.
CAACCCUCAAGCCCACCCUUCCGGGUUUGGCAUUGGGGAUCGGCCCCGCUCCGGCGGCCGGCCCCGAAAACUAGUGGCGGUCACGCUGCAGCUUCCUCUGCGUAGUAGCAACACCUCGCACUGGGAUGUGGCGCGGCCAUGCCGUUAAAUGAAUUUUCUCAA